GCAAAAUAAAGAGAAAAAUGGAGAACAAGAGAAUUCAGCAAUUAGAGGGAGAAGAAAGAAGAUAAAUGAAAAUUAAAACAUACAAAAAAACCCCCAAACCAAACCAAACAAAAAGCCUUAAGCCCCCAAAUACAAAACAAAGUAAAAUUACAAAUGGGUGAAAAAUGAUAAAAAAUAUCAGCAUUUCAGCAUAUAUACACAUAUAUGUGUGUGUGAAAAUACAUAUGAUAUGUAUUUAUCAGCAUAUACAUUUCAUUUUGAUCACUUUUAUCACCUAUUUGUAAUUUUUUUUUGUUUUCUGUGUGUGUGUGUUUCUGUGUUUCUCUCUGUGUGUGUGUGUGUGUGUGUGUGUCUGUGUGACAAACCAAUCAGCACAUCAAGAACACAGAAAUAAUGAAGGAAUGAUAUCUGCUGAGGUGGUCAAAACUGUUAAUAAGAAUAAAUGUUCAGGCCCUUUUGCUUGUUUUUGGACCAUGUACCCCUAAGAUGGAGGGAGGGCUGGGGGUUGUUAAACCCUUCAUCUUUUUUUUUGUUGUUCACCAAGCUGCCAGCUGGAGUGGCCUGGAACCAAAGCUGGUUGUAAUAGCUCUCAGCUUCCCUUUUCACUAGUAUAAGGUGGGAUGAUCAAAUGGGAAGUACAGUCAAGCUUUGUCCGGACAAACCACGGCGGAGCUGAUACAGAAUUCUAAAUGGAAGUUCUAGUGGCUGGGGUUUAGUUCCAAUCAGAUCUUUGGAAUUUGUUGAGUUAUAUCUGCUCAAGAGAGAUCUCUGCUGUGCAUCUGGAUCCAGGGCUCCCCUGAGAACUUAACUCAUAGAAUGAUGCAACCAACCCUCUACAGGUCUUGCAUAAUCCACUGCCCAUGAAUGUGGUCCUCCCAGGAUCAGUACCAAAAUGCAAUUAUGCCCAUCUCUUUGGCUUCUAUAUCUUCCCCUCCCCUACCAAGUGAGAUAUCUCUCUCCAGGUGAGAUACCUAUCUCUCUCUCUCUCUCUCUCUCUCUCUCUUUCACCCUAAAACCUCAUAUUUCUGGGUUUCAUCUGGUCACUGACACUCUAUAUAGUUGCACUCCAGCACCUUCCUAUAGCCCCCCUACCUCAACAUGCAGCUGCACACCUGUUUGAGGGGGGUUCAAUCUCAUGGAGCAUUGCUAAGUGCCUCUAACCUGCCAUCUUCAGGAGCCUCUUAAUUCUUAAAUAGGACUACAUGGAAGGUAUAAAGGACAGAGCUUCGCUACCAGUUCUUGCUCUGUAUACUUAGUUUUUUCUUUUAAUUACCAUGUGCAUGCAUUACAUCCAUAAAAAUAAACAUCAGAAAUAGAAAUAUGUGCUGCAAUUUCCUUUUUAAAAGAGAAUAUAUAGAGAGAAAACACAAUAAGGUACAUAUAUCAUUCAAAUAUUAAUAGCGGUUACCUCUGCCGGGAUAGUAAAAUGCCAGAUUAUAGAAAUUUUGUUAUACGUUCCCAAAUAUACUUAACAUAUUUGGCAUGGCUAAUAAAAACUGUGUAUAAUUUUUAAAAAUAUGUAGGACUUAAAUUUGUUUGUUUUCCAAAGAAUUUGUGAUAUAAGAAAAUGGCUAAGAGAGCUAGAUGACCUUCAAUAACGCAUUUGAUUUCACCAGUGAUUUGUAUAUGACACAUUUAAAUAUACUAUAAAUAUUUAAAAUACAUAUAGAAGUUUCUUUUAAAUACUGUCUGAAACAUUUUAAAUGAUUUAUAUUUCAGUUUUUAUUUGUUGCAUUUGAUUUUUAAACUAUUUUAUCUAUGUUAAUGUUUAUCCAAUUUUAUGUUUAUAAGCAAAACUUUAUCUGGGCUAUAAAAAGCUUCUUAUGGAUGGAUAUUUUUUCAUGAUGCACUUGCCUAUAUGUUGAGGAAUGCAUGUGUAUUUAUGAUAUUUUUAUUCGCACUUUGAAUUCCAAAUAUAGCUAAUUGCAACAUGAUCCUUGUUCUACAAAAUAUUCUUCCCUCCACACACU
RNAcentral lists this long non-coding RNA (1970 nucleotides) under Marmota monax (woodchuck). Lineage: Eukaryota; Metazoa; Chordata; Mammalia; Rodentia; Sciuridae. The record is from RNAcentral.